AUAAUGGCAAUGUAACAGUUGCCUUAUCGUGCGCCGAGAGAAAGUUUAAGCAUGCACCUUUUAAUUUUAUGAAUAGUUUAAGGCAUAGUGAUUUUAAAGAGAAGCUACUGGUUUUAUAAACAAAAUUCUGCAGAUUUUAAACGACUUUACUGUUGAUUUUAAAAAUCGUAGAUGAAAUAGACGAAACUGAUUUAAUUGACUACAUCCUUUAUGCAUGGUUUCUAAGCAUUGUUAGUUUAUAACUGUUAUGUAAGUGCAGCAGUCCUAUUAGCAUGGUGUCUAGGAUGCAAUUAAUUAUUUUAACCUAUAGACUGUUUGCCUAAUGUGUAUAUGCAGAAGUGCAGAAACCUAUAGUCAUGAUUUCUAUAUGUAGAAUAGAAGAAACUUAUAGACAUGGUUUCUAAUGCUGAAAUGAAACAAUCUUAUAGGCAGGAUUUCUAAAUGCAUGAUGAAUCUUAUAGGCAGAAUUUCUAAAUGCAGAUACAUAGUCGAAAAUGUUGUGAUUGCAGAAAUAAAACCAAAAGCAUGACAUCUACCCCAUAUGCAUAAUCAUGAGAGACACUCCCUCAUUUUUACUAUACACCCCAUAGUUGUUACAAAUUAUACAACUGGAAUGAAUCCAGAAAAAAGUAAAUUACAUCAGAAAUUAGAAUUCCAACCAAGGAGAUCCUAAUUCAUACUCCUAGUCUGACACAUGAAUAAACCAACAGAUCAGAUUCCCAAAGCCUUUCUCAUCUUUUGGGUGUGUCAAAGUUCCAAAGAGUUUCAUGAACUUCAGGAAGUGGUUACACCCAAUUAUAUUACAGAAUUAUAAUGCAGUGUGGAAUGGCCAGCCCUCCAAUGUCCAAGUUCAGAGGGAACUCAAGGUCCCCAAAGCAAGGCCCAUAGGAGGGGGCAGAACUUUGAGUCUAAGAGUAAGUGUAAGUGCAGUAUAAGGGGAAUUAGGGAAGAGCCAUGAAAAACUAGUGGUCAUGCCCAGCAAUUGGGAUGCUGGCACACCCUUGACCAGUCUGUUAGCUUAAUUUGGGAGUUAGGACCUAUUGAAGGUCAGGUUUAUACCUGGGCAAUAAUUUAGAUACUACCAGGCCAAAACCAUUAACUUGGAUACAUAGAGAAGAAUAGGGGAUAUGGAUUCAUAAUAGAAGCAAUAUAGAAGGAAAGAAACACGCAUAAAUUAACUAUUGAACAUGAACAACAAAGUGGGAAUGAGUAGUGAAACUAUGAAAUAAACAUAUAGGGGUGAGGCAAAAAAUUAAAUCAGACAUACCAGUUUCAGGAAAAACAGGUAAGUAAAACAUCAGUCUUGAAAAGCCAAAUUGCAAAGCAGUACAAAAGUCUCAGUAGAGAUUGGAAGGUAUUGAAAAAGUAUUAUGAUUAAAAGUGUGUGUGUGAGUUGUAAGGUCUUAUCAAAGCUUAAAGCUUAAAUCCUCUCCCUCUUAAUGUAGACGGGUCAAGCCCUUUUUAUAUUGUAGCAAGUGAGCAAAAAAAGGUAAGGAAAUAUCAUUCUGAUCAGUCUCCCUUUAGUUAAGGGAUUCUAAUCUCAAGCAGGUAAAGCAAUUAUGGAAAGGGAUUUUAAAAAAUAUUUUCCCAGUAAUAUAAUAAAGGGUAAGUACAUAGAAGCUAUUUAAGGCAACAAACUAAUAGUACACGGCUUGUAAAAAAGGAAAUGGAAUCAACCAGUAAAAAUUAAAACUUCAGACUUUUACUCGAAUAAAUUGAUUCCGAAAAAAGGGUAAAGAAAGGUUCAAUUAGGGAAAAACAGUAACAAUAAAGUGAACACAAUUAAAGAAAUCCGAAAUCAAUUAGUAGUUGGCAAAGCCUUUUCGGAAGAAGAGUUCUCAUAUGUAAACAUUCAAACAUGUAAAUCAAGAAGAGAUCGUCAAGUUAUUUAAAAGAGAAUAUUAAUCGAAGAGAAGUUCAGAGUCAUAAGCAAGGAGAUGCAGGUUCAACCUGCAGACUCAUAGUGAGUUUGAGAUUCCAGGGUCCCAAUAUGGAACCCUGACUCGAACAUAAAAAUCAAAGUCGUCAAAAGUAAACCCAAAAUCCUAGGGUUUCAAAUGUUGAAUCAGAUAUGGGGGUGGGAAAACGAACCAUUUACUUUUCAGAGUCUCAACAAAACAGACAUGAUAGCAUGCUUGAACAACAAAGGAAGAAAAAUCAUGAAGAAAAUAUUCGAGAAACUCAGAACAUAAACGAGUUCAGAAGAAAGAGACAGUGCAAACUUGAACACAAGCAGAUGAAGCAUGUAAG
This 2250-nucleotide long non-coding RNA is filed under the name Nicotiana benthamiana. RNAcentral's name for it is "long non-coding RNA (NBEN_LNC002842)". The record is from RNAcentral. Lineage: Eukaryota; Viridiplantae; Streptophyta; Magnoliopsida; Solanales; Solanaceae.